UGUUCUGUGGCUUAGUUGGUUAAAGCGCCGGUCUAGCGAAUACGGAGUCGUGGGUUCGAAUCCCAUCAGAACGC
Aedes albopictus (Asian tiger mosquito) is the source of this 74-nucleotide non-coding RNA. NCBI's taxonomy places the organism in Eukaryota, Metazoa, Arthropoda, Insecta, Diptera, Culicidae. The record is from Rfam.